This 301-nucleotide ribosomal RNA is filed under the name uncultured bacterium. RNAcentral describes it as "partial 16S ribosomal RNA". It matches the Rfam family "Bacterial small subunit ribosomal RNA", at positions 509 to 807 of the family's 1533-position model. The record is from RNAcentral.
CAGUAGCCGCGGGAAUACGGAGGGUGCAAGCGUUAUCCGGAUUCACUGGGUUUAAAGGGUGCGUAGGCGGAUCUGUAAGUCAGUGGUGAAAUCUCCAGGCUUAACCUGGAAACUGCCGUUGAUACUAUAGGUCUUGAAUUUUGUGGAGGUUAGCGGAAUAUGUCAUGUAGCGGUGAAAUGCAUAGAUAUGACAUAGAACACCAAUUGCGAAGGCAGCUGGUUACACAACUAUUGACGCUGAGGCACGAAAGCGUGGGGAUCAAACAGGAUUAGAUACCCCCGUAGUCCCUGUCUCUUAUAC